UGAAUCAUAACAAGACGUAAUGAGGUCA
Molecule: small RNA, 28 nt
Filed under: Bombyx mori (domestic silkworm)
Lineage: Eukaryota; Metazoa; Arthropoda; Insecta; Lepidoptera; Bombycidae
Description: ovarian small RNA-31110
Source: RNAcentral